UCCGAAUUCGGAUAUCCGAAUUCGAUUCGAAUAACAUUUAUAAAAAAACCCAAAAAUAAUAUUUUAUUUUAUUUUUGUUAAAAAAACCCUGUAAUAUUAAAAAAAAAACUGUAAAUAUUAAAUCCAAGUAUCCAAGUGUCCAACACAAUUUAACAUAACAAGUAUCCAUCCAACAUAAUUUAAAAAUAGUACUUAACAAUCAAUCCAACAUAAUUUAAAUUUUUAACAUAUUCUAAGCUUCAUUUUAUAAUUUCCAGAUCAUCCAAUCAUCCAUAGAGAUAUCGAACAGGUUAACCAUCGUCCAUUGAACACCUGUUUAAGAAUAAACAAACCAAUAUUCAAAUAGGAAAUAUAAAAAUAAAUUCCAACAUAAUUAAUAUUCACAAUUUACUUACCAUCUUAUUAUUUAAAUGAUUAAAGCCAAUCCUUGCAAAACAGUAUUGCUUCCACUGUAUCAGAUUUUAAAGAAGCCCGAGUAUCUUCAAUUAUCCGACGACCCCAACUAAAAGCAGACUCAUAAGCAACAGUAGAUGUUGGAAUGGCUAAGAGAUCUCUGGCCAUCUUCCUUAAUGUUGGAAACUUCACUCCAGUAUUAUUCCACCAAUUCAAAAUAUCAAAUAGAAAUGGAUCAUCUUUUCUCUCUGGAUGAAGUGCUUCAUUCAAAUAAGUAUCUAACUCUGAAAUUCGAGUUGGUUCCAUUUGUUGAUUCUUGUCAAUUACAAAGUCUUGCCAUUCCGCUGUUACAAGAUCAUGAGUUGUUCCACAAGAAAUUACUUCUGUAGAAGGAUUAUCAUCAACUACUUCACUUUGUGUUUUAUCCACAUAAGAAUCAUAUAAUUCUCUCAGGGCACUAUUAACUCGAACAAUAUGAAUAUGAGAUGCACUACCAUAAAGCUUUCCAUAUGCAUAUUCAACAAAAUGCAUUUUGUAUCGAGGGUCUAAGAUCAUACAAAUCGUCAAAGUAAACCCACACAAUUCCCAAUAUUUAUCAAACUUAAUUUGCAUUAACCUUGCCAUUUCUUGGAUGCCUCUAUCGGAAUUUUUUUUCCAUAAGCUUAGAUGGAAACUGAUAUUCACAAUAUCUUUAAAAUAAUAGUUUGCAGUAGGAUAUUUCGUACCAGAUAAUCUAAGUGUAAUGGUAUGAAAAAGCUUCAAACAAUCACAUACCUUCUUUCCCAUUUCCCAUUCUUCAAAUGUUGGAAGUUCUUUAUAAUCAGAGUCUAAAUCUGCCAAACGUUCAAAAGCAUCUCUGACUUCCAAAGCACUUUGAAGCAUGACAUAUGUAGAAUUCCAACGUGUGUCAACAUCCAAACUCACCUGAAAAUGAAAAUUAUAUAUCAAAUAAUUUAUCUAAAGGUAAUUUUCAGAAUGGAAAAUUUUCAUUUACCUUUUUAUUAUCAUUCAAUCUACUCUGAGUUAAAGCUUGCUUAAAUUUCUGAUUUCGGUAAACAGAUGACCCAAUGUACUUUACACUCUUUCGGAUUUUCUCAAUCAAUGAUAAUAUUAUUUCCAUUCCACUUUUAACAAUCAAAUUAAUUAUAUGAGCAGAACAUCGAAUAUGGAAUAAAUCUCCAUUCUUUAGCAAAUACUCCUUACAAUUCAACCAAUUCUUAAUCAUUACCACCAUUGGUUCGUUGUUGCUCGCAUUGUCAACUACGAUUGAGUAGACCUUUUUAUCGAUAUUCCAUUUCAAGAUCUUUUGUUUCAGCCAAUUUCCAAGGACUUCACCAGUGUGUGGGCAUUCAAUAAAAUUGAAGGCAAUGAUUUUCUUAUUUAAUUUCCAUGAAUCGUCUAUAUAAUGGCAGGACACACAACAAUACCCAUGGUUCUAAUGAUCUGAAGUCCAUAAAUCAGUUGUGAGGCUAACCUUAGAUGAAAUACCAUCCAAGAUACUUUGCAACUUUGUUUUUUCUAUCUUAUAAACUUCUAGGCAAUCAGACUUGAUAGUAUUUCUGGUUCUGAAUUUGUACAUUGGGGAAAUGAAAGCCACCCACUUUCUAAAAUACUCAUGUUCUGUCAAAAGAAACGGAUAAUCGUGUUUCAUUACCAUUUGAGCAAACAAAGUUCUCUCAACCUCUGCAUCAAAUCUGUAAGUUACAAUACUUGCAUUUAGCUGUGAUGGAACCAUCUGGAUUCUCUGUUCUUUCAUAAUCAUUCCAAACAGGGGAUGUCAAAGAUCGUUUCCUUUUAAUUUUAUUAACUUCAGGAUGUUCACAUUCUUUGGCUAAUAUUGUAGAAGAUACGCCGGUAGUAGUACUAGGUACACUAAGGUUUUGUAUAGGAGCAUCUUGAGAUAUAGGGAUAUGUGUAUCUCCAAUACUUUGAACGUCUAUUAUGUCUCUAACCACACCUAAUAUAAUUUACAUAAAGAUGAUUUAAGAAACAUAAAUAUCAGAAUUCAGAAACAUUAAAAUCAGAAAUAUAAAUUAAUAUCAGAAACAUAAAUUAAUAUAAGAAUAAGAACAUUAAUUUAUGCCACAAAAAAAUUAACAUUACCUUCAUCAUUCCCAUGUACAUUAGACAUUGAGUCUAUUGAAUUAGUAGACUGUUUAGGAAAUGAAAUCUGAAAAUGAAUAAAAAAUUAAAAAUGAAUAUUAGAAUAGAAUGAUGAUGAUGAUGAGGUGGAAGCCGUCGCAAUGUAAGAAUUCUAAAUCUUAAAUUCUAAACUCUAAACCAUUAAAGGGUUUUUGAAUUUUGAACCACUCUUCUGCUCUUUUAUCUAUCUUUCUAGAGCCUGGAAAAAGCUUCCAGUUGCUCAACAAUACUAAAAGGGCCUGUUUGAAUCUAGUAUCAUCCUACAAAGGCAAAGAAGCAAUAAAGUAAAAGAUGUGGCAAACAGAACAAAGAAAAUAUAUAAAUAAAUAAAAGACAACGAAAACGAUAAAUUUAGCAAGUUAAUGCUUAUGUCAAGUGUCAAUAAAGUAUAAACUAUAAACACUUCGAUUUUGCAACAUUUUAUUCAAUAAUGACCAGAAUAAAAGUGUUUUCCAAGUGUUCAAUCGAGAUGAGUGAACAAAAACCUCAUCGGCAAGAAUCUUAGAGCAAUUGAAGCAGACACAUCGCAUAAUCGCAAGAACAGUCUUCAAAAAUCUAUCUUUUAGUAGAUUAAAAGAAGAGGAAUUCCAGAGGAAGUUAAAAGAGAUGUUAAAUGAAGAAGAAAAGAAACGCAUACCAGUUGCUCAGCGUCUACCCUGGACCACUGAUGAGCCUGAGUGUCUGGUAAAGCCUGCAGUGAAAGAAACAAGUGAGCCCAUUGAUAUUCUUCUCCAUAGGGGAUUUUAUUGUGGACGAACCCUUACAGGAUGGAUUUAAAAGACCCGUACUAGAGGUCCGAGACUGUACAGAUUUCAACAUCUGAGUGAAAACUGAAAACGAAAGGAAAGAAAUCGCUAUUUCCGUAAACUGGAAACGAAAGGAAAGGAAAGGAAAGAAAACGAAACGAAAGGAAAGAAAACUGGAAACGAAAGAAAACUGAAAACAUCUGAGUGAAAACUGUACAGGCUAUUUCCGUUUUUUUUUGUAAAAACAGUAACAAAGUGAAAGGAAGAUGAGAAAACUUACCAGUUACCCAGAUGAGAAGGAGCCGAGUAACUUGUGUGCUUGCUGCUUGACUGCUUGUGCAAAAAAAAUGGAGGAAUGAGAAGAAAUCGCCAAACCCUAGCUAACUCUUAAGAAAGGAGAAUAACUGAAUAAGAAAUAAGAAUGAUUUUUUUAGGGAUUUAGAGAUUAGGUUUAGG
This 3737-nucleotide long non-coding RNA is filed under the name Zostera marina. Its description in RNAcentral is "long non-coding RNA (ZMAR_LNC005005)". The record is from RNAcentral. Lineage: Eukaryota; Viridiplantae; Streptophyta; Magnoliopsida; Alismatales; Zosteraceae.